Molecule: ribosomal RNA, 252 nt
Filed under: uncultured bacterium
Lineage: Bacteria
Description: partial 16S ribosomal RNA
Rfam family: Bacterial small subunit ribosomal RNA
Source: RNAcentral
UACGUAGGUCCCGAGCGUUGUCCGGAUUUAUUGGGCGUAAAGCGAGCGCAGGUGGUUUAUUAAGUCUGGUGUAAAAGGCAGUGGCUCAACCAUUGUAUGCAUUGGAAACUGGUAGACUUGAGUGCAGAAGAGGAGAGUGGAACUCCAUGUGUAGCGGUGAAAUGCGUAGAUAUAUGGAAGAACACCAGUGGCGAAAGCGGCUCUCUGGUCUGUAACUGACGCUGAGGGUCGAAAGCGUGGGUAGCAAACAGG